UGUCAUGUCACGCCCGCUACCGUGACAGCUUGCAGUGAACUCCUCCGGUGCUGCUGCUUUCUGCGUCAAAAAACAACCUUUCAGUGACCAGAUCUGACUGAAAAUGCUGUCCUACAUCAUCGGCCUUAUCCGAGGCGGCUUUGACAGCAUCAUCAACCUGAUCUUCAGACUUUUCUUCUCAAAGAAGCGACCUGCGCUCACCUUAGAGGACCCCAACG
Plectropomus leopardus (leopard coralgrouper) is the source of this 218-nucleotide non-coding RNA. Lineage: Eukaryota; Metazoa; Chordata; Actinopteri; Perciformes; Serranidae. The record is from RefSeq and is a predicted model, not a curated record.